UGCAAGUCGAGCGGUAAGGCCUUUCGGGGUACACGAGCGGCGAACGGGUGAGUAACACGUGGGUGAUCUGCCCUGCACUUCGGGAUAAGCCUGGGAAACUGGGUCUAAUACCGGAUAUGACCUCAGGUUGCAUGACUUGGGGUGGAAAGAUUUAUCGGUGCAGGAUGGGCCCGCGGCCUAUCAGCUUGUUGGUGGGGUAAUGGCCUACCAAGGCGACGACGGGWAGCCGACCUGAGAGGGUGACCGGCCACACUGGGACUGAGACACGGCCCAGACUCCUACGGGAGGCAGCAGUGGGGAAUAUUGCACAAUGGGCGAAAGCCUGAUGCAGCGACGCCGCGUGAGGGAUGACGGCCUUCGGGUUGUAAACCUCUUUCAGCAGGGACGAAGCGCAAGUGACGGUACCUGCAGAAGAAGCACCGGCUAACUACGUGCCAGCAGCCGCGGUAAUACGUAGGGUGCAAGCGUUGUCCGGAAUUACUGGGCGUAAAGAGUUCGUAGGCGGUUUGUCGCGUCGUUUGUGAAAACCAGCAGCUCAACUGCUGGCUUGCAGGCGAUACGGGCAGACUUGAGUACUGCAGGGGAGACUGGAAUUCCUGGUGUAGCGGUGAAAUGCGCAGAUAUCAGGAGGAACACCGGUGGCGAAGGCGGGUCUCUGGGCAGUAACUGACGCUGAGGAACGAAAGCGUGGGUAGCGAACAGGAUUAGAUACCCUGGUAGUCCACGCCGUAAACGGUGGGCGCUAGGUGUGGGUUCCUUCCACGGAA
RNAcentral lists this ribosomal RNA (767 nucleotides) under Rhodococcus erythropolis. RNAcentral describes it as "bacterial SSU rRNA". It matches the Rfam family "Bacterial small subunit ribosomal RNA", at positions 56 to 839 of the family's 1533-position model. Lineage: Bacteria; Bacillati; Actinomycetota; Actinomycetes; Mycobacteriales; Nocardiaceae. The record is from RNAcentral.